CCUGACUGCUAUCGGAUUGAUACUAAGCCAUGCGAGUCAUUGUAGCAAUACAAGGCAUACGGCUCAGUAACGCGUAGUCAACCUARCCUAUGGACGGGAAUAACCUCGGGAAACUGAGAAUAAUGCCCGAUAGAACACUAUACCUGGAAUGGUUUGUGUUCCAAAUGAUUUAUCGCCAUAGGAUGGGACUGCGGCCUAUUAGUUUGUUGGUGAGGUAAUGGCCCACCAAGACUAUUACAGGUACGGGCUCUGAGAGGAGUAGCCCGGAGAUGGGUACUGAGACACGGACCCAGGCCCUAUGGGGCGCAGCAGGCGAGAAAACUUUGCAAUGUGCGAAAGCACGACAAGGUUAAUCCGAGUGAUUUGUGCUAAACGAAUCUUUUGUUAGUCCUAGAAACACUAACGAAUAAGGGGUGGGCAAGUUCUGGUGUCAGCCGCCGCGGUAAAACCAGCACCUCAAGUGGUCAGGAUGAUUAUUGGGCCUAAAGCAUCCGUAGCCGGCUCUGUAAGUUUUCGGUUAAAUCUGUACGCUUAACGUACAGGCUGCCGGGAAUACUGCAGAGCUAGGGAGUGGGAGAGGUAGACGGUACUCGGUAGGAAGUGGUAAAAUGCUUUGAUCUAUCGAUGACCACCUGUGGCAAAGGCGGUCUACCAGAACACGUCCGACGGUGAGGGAUGAAAGCUGGGGGAGCAAACCGGAUUAGAUACCCGGGUAGUCCCAGCUGUAAACUAUGCAAACUCAGUGAUGCAUUGGCUUGUGGCCAAUGCAGUGCUGCAGGGAAGCCGUUAAGUUUGCCGCCUGGGAAGUACGUACGCAAGUAUGAAACUUAAAGGAAUUGGCGGGGGAGCACCACAAGGGGUGAAGCCUGCGGUUC
RNAcentral lists this ribosomal RNA (875 nucleotides) under uncultured marine group I thaumarchaeote. RNAcentral's name for it is "bacterial SSU rRNA". It matches the Rfam family "Archaeal small subunit ribosomal RNA", at positions 21 to 903 of the family's 1478-position model. Lineage: Archaea; Thermoproteati; Nitrososphaerota. The record is from RNAcentral.